This 256-nucleotide ribosomal RNA is filed under the name Enterobacter asburiae. Its description in RNAcentral is "partial 23S ribosomal RNA". It matches the Rfam family "Bacterial large subunit ribosomal RNA", at positions 609 to 867 of the family's 2925-position model. Lineage: Bacteria; Pseudomonadati; Pseudomonadota; Gammaproteobacteria; Enterobacterales; Enterobacteriaceae. RNAcentral also lists the same sequence under 1 other name. The record is from RNAcentral.
UGUAUAAUGGGUCAGCGACUUAUAUUCUGUAGCAAGGUUAACCGUAUAGGGGAGCCGAAGGGAAACCGAGUCUUAACUGGGCGUUAAGUUGCAGGGUAUAGACCCGAAACCCGGUGAUCUAGCCAUGGGCAGGUUGAAGGUUGGGUAACACUAACUGGAGGACCGAACCGACUAAUGUUGAAAAAUUAGCGGAUGACUUGUGGCUGGGGGUGAAAGGCCAAUCAAACCGGGAGAUAGCUGGUUCUCCCCGAAAGCU